Molecule: ribosomal RNA, 428 nt
Filed under: bacterium
Lineage: Bacteria
Description: partial 16S ribosomal RNA
Rfam family: Bacterial small subunit ribosomal RNA
Source: RNAcentral
UGGGAAUUUUGGACAAUGGGGGCAACCCUGAUCCAGCAAUGCCGCGUGUGUGAAGAAGGCCUUCGGGUUGUAAAGCACUUUUGUCCGGGAAGAAAUCGCACCUGAUAAUACCGGGUGUGGAUGACGGUACCGGAAGAAUAAGGACCGGCUAACUACGUGCCAGCAGCCGCGGUAAUACGUAGGGUCCAAGCGUUAAUCGGAAUUACUGGGCGUAAAGCGUGCGCAGGCGGUUGUGCAAGACCGAUGUGAAAUCCCCGGGCUUAACCUGGGAAUUGCAUUGGUGACUGCACGGCUAGAGUGUGUCAGAGGGUGGUAGAAUUCCACGUGUAGCAGUGAAAUGCGUAGAGAUGUGGAGGAAUACCGAUGGCGAAGGCAGCCCCCUGGGAUAACACUGACGCUCAUGCACGAAAGCGUGGGGAGCAAACAGG